RNAcentral lists this ribosomal RNA (491 nucleotides) under uncultured bacterium. RNAcentral's name for it is "bacterial SSU rRNA". It matches the Rfam family "Bacterial small subunit ribosomal RNA", at positions 28 to 512 of the family's 1533-position model. The record is from RNAcentral.
GACGAACGCUGGCGGCGUGGAUUAGGCAUGCAAGUCGAACGGUAGGAUACCUUCGGGUAUCUGAGAGUGGCGAACGGGUGAGUAACACGUAGGUGAUCUACCCUCAAGAUUGGGACAACCCAGGGAAACUUGGGCUAAUACCGGAUGAAAGCAGCAGUGAUGUUGUUUGAAAGGUGGCGUAAGCUGCCGUUUGGGGAUGAGCCUGCGCUCUAUUAGUUAGUUGGCGGGGUAAAGGCCCACCAAGGCGAUGAUAGAUAGGCGGCCUUAACGGGUGGUCGCCCACACUGGGAUUGAGAUACGGCCCAGACUCCUACGGGAGGCAGCAGUCGAGAAUAGUCUACAAUGGCCGAAAGGCUGAUAGUGCGACGCCGCGUGAACGAAGAAGCCCUUCGGGUGUAAGUUCUUUUAUAUGUGAGCAGUGCUUUCUAUGUGAACAGCAUGGGGAGAGAGAUAUUAGCAUAUGAAUAAGCAACGGCUAACUCCGUGCCAGC